GGGUUGUGAGGUUAAGCGACUAAGCGUACACGGUGGAUGCCCUGGCAGUCAGAGGCGAUGAAGGACGUGCUAAUCUGCGAUAAGCGUCGGUGAGGUGAUAUGAACCGUUAUAACCGGCGAUUUCCGAAUGGGGAAACCCAGUGUGUUUCGACACACUAUCAUUAACUGAAUCCAUAGGUUAAUGAGGCGAACCGGGGGAACUGAAACAUCUAAGUACCCCGAGGAAAAGAAAUCAACCGAGAUUCCCCCAGUAGCGGCGAGCGAACGGGGAGGAGCCCAGAGCCUGAAUCAGUGUGUGUGUUAGUGGAAGC
RNAcentral lists this ribosomal RNA (311 nucleotides) under Escherichia coli. RNAcentral's name for it is "partial 23S ribosomal RNA". It matches the Rfam family "Bacterial large subunit ribosomal RNA", at positions 1 to 307 of the family's 2925-position model. The record is from RNAcentral. Lineage: Bacteria; Pseudomonadati; Pseudomonadota; Gammaproteobacteria; Enterobacterales; Enterobacteriaceae.